GACGAACGCUGGCGGCGUGCUUAACACAUGCAAGUCGAACGGAAAGGCCCUGCUUGCAGGGUACUCGAGUGGCGAACGGGUGAGUAACACGUGGGUGAUCUGCCCUGCACUUCGGGAUAAGCCUUGGAAACUGGGUCUAAUACCGGAUAGGAGCCAUUUUUAGUGUGAUGGGUGGAAAGUUUUUUCGGUGUAGGAUGAGCUCGCGGCCUAUCAGCUUGUUGGUGGGGUAAUGGCCUACCAAGGCGGCGACGGGUAGCCGGCCUGAGAGGGUGGACGGCCACAAUGGGACUGAGAUACGGCCCAGACUCCUACGGGAGGCAGCAGUGGGGAAGAUUGCACAAUGGGCGCAAGCCUGAUGCAGCGACGCCGCGGGGGGGAUGACGGCCUUCGGGUUGUAAACUCCUUUCGCUAGGGACGAAGCUUUUUGUGACGGUACCUAGAUAAGAAGCACCGGCUAACUACGUG
Molecule: ribosomal RNA, 465 nt
Filed under: uncultured bacterium
Lineage: Bacteria
Description: partial 16S ribosomal RNA
Rfam family: Bacterial small subunit ribosomal RNA
Source: RNAcentral